GUCUACGGCCAUGCCACCCUGAACAAGCCCAAUCCCAUCUGAUCUCGGAAGCUAAGCAGGGUUGGGCCUGGUUAGUACUUGGAUGGGAGCCCACCUAGGAAAACCAGAUGCUGUAGGCA
Pteropus alecto (black flying fox) is the source of this 119-nucleotide non-coding RNA. The record is from Rfam. NCBI's taxonomy places the organism in Eukaryota, Metazoa, Chordata, Mammalia, Chiroptera, Pteropodidae.